RNAcentral lists this ribosomal RNA (456 nucleotides) under Campylobacter gracilis. Its description in RNAcentral is "bacterial SSU rRNA". It matches the Rfam family "Bacterial small subunit ribosomal RNA", at positions 29 to 500 of the family's 1533-position model. Lineage: Bacteria; Pseudomonadati; Campylobacterota; Epsilonproteobacteria; Campylobacterales; Campylobacteraceae. The record is from RNAcentral.
AGUGAACGCUGCGGCGUGCCUAAUACAUGCAAGUCGAACGGAAUUUAAAAGAGCUUGCUCUUUUGAAUUUAGUGGCGCACGGGUGAGUAAUAUAUAGCUAAUCUGCCCCUUGCUGGAGGACAACAGUUAGAAAUGACUGCUAAUACUCCAUACUCCUUUUUACCAUAAGAUAAAUCGGGAAAGAAUUUCGGCAAGGGAUGAGACUGUAUCGUAUCAGCUAGUCGGUGGGGUAACGGCCUACCGAGGCUAUGACGCGUAACUGGUCUGAGAGGAUGAUCAGUCACAUUGGAACUGAGACACGGUCCAAACUCCUACGGGAGGCAGCAGUAGGGAAUAUUGCGCAAUGGGGGAAACCCUGACGCAGCAACGCCGCGUGGAGGAUGACACUUUUCGGAGCGUAAACUCCUUUUGUUAGGGAAGAAUAAUGACGGUACCUAACGAAUAAGCACCGGCUAA